This 497-nucleotide ribosomal RNA is filed under the name uncultured bacterium. RNAcentral describes it as "partial 16S ribosomal RNA". It matches the Rfam family "Bacterial small subunit ribosomal RNA", at positions 28 to 507 of the family's 1533-position model. The record is from RNAcentral.
GAUGAACGCUGGCGGCGUGCCUAAUACAUGCAAGUCGAGCGAACAGACGAGGAGCGUGCUCCUCUGACGUUAGCGGCUGACGGGUGAGUAACACGUGGAUAACCUACCUAUAAGACUGGGAUAACUUCGGGAAACCGGAGCUAAUACCGGAUAAUAUAUUGAACCGCAUGGUUCAAUAGUGAAAGACGCUUUUGCUGUCACUUAUAGAUGGAUCCGCGCCGCAUUAGCUAGUUGGUAAGGUAACGGCUUACCAAGGCAACGAUGCGUAGCCGACCUGAGAGGGUGAUCGGCCACACUGGAACUGAGACACGGUCCAGACUCCUACGGGAGGCAGCAGUAGGGAAUCUUCCGCAAUGGGCGAAAGCCUGACGGAGCAACGCCGCGUGAGUGAUGAAGGUCUUCGGAUCGUAAAACUCUGUUAUUAGGGAAGAACAAAUGUGUAAGUAACUAUGCACGUCUUGACGGUACCUAAUCAGAAAGCCACGGCUAACUACGUG